GCCUCCGUGGCGUAAAUGGCAGCGCGUUCGGCUGUUAACCGGAAGGUUGAUGGUUCGAGACCAUCCGGGGGCG
Non-coding RNA from Habropoda laboriosa, 73 nucleotides. NCBI's taxonomy places the organism in Eukaryota, Metazoa, Arthropoda, Insecta, Hymenoptera, Apidae. The record is from Rfam.